CCAAUAGCGUAUAUUAAAGUUGUUGCAGUUAAAAAGCUCGUAGUUGAAUUUCGGGACCAGUAUGUCGGUCGUGCUUCGGUACGUACUUGCAUUAUUGGUUUCUCCCUUCUGACGAACCAUGAUGUCAUUAAUUUGAUGUCAUGGGAAAUCAGGACUGUUACUUUGAAAAAAUUAGAGUGUUUAAAGCAGGCUCGCGCUUGAAUACAUUAGCAUGGAAUAAUGAAAUAGGACGUUUGAUUCUAUUUUGUUGGUUUCUAGGAUCGACGUAAUGAUUAAUAGGGAUAGUUGGGGGCAUUAGUAUUCAAUUGUCAGAGGUGAAAUUCUUGGAUUUAUUGAAGACUAACUACUGCGAAAGCAUUUGCCAAGGAUGUUUUCAUUAAUCAAGAACGAAAGUUAGGGGAUCGAAGACGAUCAGAUACCGUCGUAGUCUUAACCAUAAACUAUGCCGACUAGGGAUCGGAUGAUGUUAAUUUUUUAAUGACUCAUUCGGCGCCUUACG
This 499-nucleotide ribosomal RNA is filed under the name uncultured Glomeromycotina. Its description in RNAcentral is "partial small subunit ribosomal RNA". It matches the Rfam family "Eukaryotic small subunit ribosomal RNA", at positions 591 to 1092 of the family's 1831-position model. The record is from RNAcentral. Lineage: Eukaryota; Fungi; Glomeromycota.